CGUAGGUGGCAAGCGUUGUCCGGAGUUACUGGGUGUAAAGGGCGUGUAGGCGGGAAGAUAAGUCAGAUGUGAAAUUCCAUGGCUCAACUGUGGCGCUGCAUCUGAAACUAUUUUUCUUGAGUGAUGGAGAGGAAAGUGGAAUUCCUAGUGUAGCGGUGAAAUGCGUAGAUAUUAGGAGGAACACCAGUGGCGAAGGCGACUUUCUGGACAUUAACUGACGCUGAGGCGCGAAAGCGUGGGGAGCAAACAGGAUUAGAUACCCUGGUAGUCCACGCUGUAAACGAUGGAUACUAGGUGUAGGAGGUAUCGACCCCUUCUGUGCCGGAGUUAACACAAUAAGUAUCCCACCUGGGGAGUACGGCCGCAAGGUUG
This 372-nucleotide ribosomal RNA is filed under the name uncultured organism. RNAcentral describes it as "bacterial SSU rRNA". It matches the Rfam family "Bacterial small subunit ribosomal RNA", at positions 526 to 896 of the family's 1533-position model. The record is from RNAcentral.